Molecule: long non-coding RNA, 637 nt
Organism: Erinaceus europaeus (western European hedgehog)
Lineage: Eukaryota; Metazoa; Chordata; Mammalia; Eulipotyphla; Erinaceidae
Exons: 3
Source: RefSeq, a predicted model, not a curated record
UGAACAAAUCGAGGUGCUGGCAGCUGGCACACCUGGCAUAGCUUUUUCUGUGCAUCUCUUCCAUUUGGCUAUUGUACCAACCACCAAGUUGCAGAUGCUAUCAUGAUUCCAUCCUGAUUUCCCUGGGAAGACAACUUCAACAUGCCUUGGGACCUCAAUGCUUCAGAGCCCUACCCCACUAGGGGAAGACAGAAAUGGGCUGGGGGCUCCUCCAGGAGGCAAGACACAGCCCUGUGUCUCCCUGAGGGACUGGAGCCAUUCCCAGUCCUCCGGCUGCUGACUCGUGUACAUGUGUAGGCAGCUUGCUUUCCCUGUUCCAGAUGGCUGGACAAGUUAAAUCAACUCAACACAGCUGCAGCAUAAGAUGUCCGUCCAGCUUCUGCUUCAUCAGAGGGGAUUUCACUGGUGAGAGAUGUAAGGAGAGAGCCAGCUGGAAGGCCAGACAUAAAGAACUCUAUGGUAGGAGAUACAGACAACCGUGUCUGCUUCCUACUCUCUUUUGAAAAGUUCUCAGUCUGUAGAAAGACAUGCAUUAGAGACGUGAAGAAGAGAAGGGGAACACUGACUUAACUAGGGAUACCUGUUAAUGCUUCAUCUUGCUCAUAGCCACUCACAUUUGCCUAGCUAGUUAAACCUU